This 468-nucleotide ribosomal RNA is filed under the name uncultured bacterium. RNAcentral describes it as "partial 16S ribosomal RNA". It matches the Rfam family "Bacterial small subunit ribosomal RNA", at positions 28 to 507 of the family's 1533-position model. The record is from RNAcentral.
GACGAACGUUGGCGGCGUGCUUAACACAUGCAAGUCGAACGGAAAGGCCCUGCUUUUGUGGGGUGCUCGAGUGGCGAACGGGUGAGUAACACGUGAGUAACCUGCCCUUGACUUUGGGAUAACUUCAGGAAACUGGGGCUAAUACCGGAUAGGAGCUCCUGCUGCAUGGUGGGGGUUGGAAAGUUUCGGCGGUUGGGGAUGGACUCGCGGCUUAUCAGCUUGUUGGUGGGGUAGUGGCUUACCAAGGCUUUGACGGGUAGCCGGCCUGAGAGGGGGACCGGCCACAUUGGGACUGAGAUACGGCCCAGAGUCCUACGGGAGACAGCAGUGGGGAAUAUUGCACAAUGGGCGGAAGCCUGAUGCAGCAACGCCGCGUGCGGGAUGACGGCCUUCGGGUUGUAAACCGCUUUCGCCUGUGACGAAGCGUGAGUGACGGUAAUGGAUAAAGAAGCACCGGCUAACUACGUG